RNAcentral lists this ribosomal RNA (1150 nucleotides) under uncultured bacterium. RNAcentral describes it as "bacterial SSU rRNA". It matches the Rfam family "Bacterial small subunit ribosomal RNA", at positions 27 to 1196 of the family's 1533-position model. The record is from RNAcentral.
GGACGAACGCUGGCGGCGUGCCUAACACAUGCAAGUCGAGCGGAGUUUAAUCGGUAGCGAUUUCGGUCAAAACCGAUUAAACUUAGCGGCGGACGGGUGAGUAACACGUAGGCAACCUGCCCGUGACACGGGGACAGCUUCGGGAAACCGGAGAUAAUACCCGAUACCUUUACAAAUCCCAUGAUGAGUAAAGAAAGCGAUAGCGGUCAUGGAUGGGCCUGCGUCCCAUUAGCUAGUUGGUGAGAUAACAGCCCACCAAGGCAACGAUGGGUAGCCGACCUGAGAGGGUGACCGGCCACACUGGAACUUAGACACGGUCCAGACUCCUACGGGAGGCAGCAGUGGGGAAUUUUGCGCAAUGGGGGAAACCCUGACGCAGCGACGCCGCAUGAGCGAAGAAGGCCUUCGGGUCGUAAAGCUCAGUUAUUGGGGAUGAAAAGGACAGUACCCAAAGAGAAAGCCCCGGCUAACUACGUGCCAGCAGCCGCGGUAAUACGUAGGGGGCGAGCGUUGUCCGGAAUUACUGGGUGUAAAGGGCGUGUAGGCGGGGAUGCAAGUUAUCGGUUAAAACCCAAGGCUCAACCUUGGGCUUGCCGGUAAAACUGUGUCUCUUGAGUAUAGGAGAGGGAAGUGGAAUUCCCGGAGUAGCGGUGAAAUGCGUAGAUACCGGGAGGAACACCAGUGGCGAAGGCGGCUUCCUGGCCUAUCACUGACGCUGAGGCGCGAAAGCUAGGGUAGCGAACGGGAUUAGAUACCCCGGUAGUCCUAGCCGUAAACGAUGGUCACUAGGUGUGGGUGGUGGUCAAGCCAUCCGUGCCGGAGCUAACGCAAUAAGUGACCCACCUGGGGAGUACGGCCGCAAGGUUGAAACUCAAAGGAAUUGACGGGGGCCCGCACAAGCGGUGGAGCAUGUGGGUUAAUUGGAUGCUACGCCAAGAACCUUACCAGGGCUUGACAUGUGGGGCCCGCGUGAGAGAUCACGUUUUCUCGCAGAGACCCAUCACAGUGUGCAUGCUGUCGUCAGCUCGUGUCGUGAGAUGUGGUAGUCCGCACGAGCGCAUCCCUCACCGAUGUGGCAUCGAUCCGCUGUCACUCUUUCGGACUGCUUGAACAAUCAGGAGGUAGGCUAGAAUGAACGUCAAGUUCGCAG